UCCCUGCUAAUCUAGUGGUUAGGACUUAGUGCUUUCAUCACUGUGGCCCAGGUUCAACCCCUGGCCUGGGAA
Molecule: transfer RNA, 72 nt
Filed under: Sus scrofa (pig)
Lineage: Eukaryota; Metazoa; Chordata; Mammalia; Artiodactyla; Suidae
Rfam family: tRNA
About the family: Transfer RNA (tRNA) molecules are approximately 80 nucleotides in length. Their secondary structure includes four short double-helical elements and three loops (D, anti-codon, and T loops).
Source: Rfam by way of RNAcentral